UACGAAGGGUGCAAGCGUUAAUCGGAAUUACUGGGCGUAAAGCGUGCGCAGGCGGUGAUGUAAGACCGAUGUGAAAUCCCCGGGCUUAACCUGGGAACUGCAUUGGUGACUGCAUUGCUGGAGUAUGGCAGAGGGGGGUGGAAUUCCACGUGUAGCAGUGAAAUGCGUAGAGAUGUGGAGGAACACCGAUGGCGAAGGCAGCCCCCUGGGCCAAUACUGACGCUCAUGCACGAAAGCGUGGGGAGCAAACAGG
Molecule: ribosomal RNA, 253 nt
Filed under: uncultured bacterium
Lineage: Bacteria
Description: partial 16S ribosomal RNA
Rfam family: Bacterial small subunit ribosomal RNA
Source: RNAcentral